This is a long non-coding RNA of Octopus sinensis (East Asian common octopus), 2032 nucleotides long. RefSeq lists it as uncharacterized. NCBI's taxonomy places the organism in Eukaryota, Metazoa, Mollusca, Cephalopoda, Octopoda, Octopodidae. The transcript is spliced from 2 exons. The record is from RefSeq and is a predicted model, not a curated record.
UGCAGCCUUCUGGUUCGCCAGCCCUCAGUCAAACUGUCCAAUUCAUGCCAGCAUGGAAAAUGGACGUUAAACGAUGAUGAUGAUGAAUAUAUAUAUAUGUGUGUGUGUCUGUUUUCUUUUGUCAUAUUUAAAGUGGAACUAAUCACCCUAACACUUAAAAUUUCAUGAAGAGCUAACAAGACAUUUAUUGAUGUUUUGUUUUUAAUUAUAUAGUUGGAAGAAGAAGAUGAAAGGAUAGUUUUGCCCAUCACCUUUACAAUUCCUGGGUACAAAGGUGUGAGAGUUUAUGUGGUUGCCAAUCUGCUGGAAAAAGCAGCUGAAUUUUCUUUCAGCCUAAAAGGGGAGAAGAACACACAUCAGAUAAUGUAGUCAACAUCAAAACUAAGACAGGAUGGUCAUGGCUUGAAUACUUUGGUGCUAAACAACAGCAGCAACAACAAUCCUUCCGAGACUGAUGUGGUUGAUGUUUAGUUUGAAUUUUUAUAAGUUGUCUGUAGAAAAGAUGUGAGAAGGGAAGGAGCUCCAUGGUGGUUGGGGUGGAGUGGGUUGAUACAAUUUUGUAGAAGAAGGGUUGGACGUUGCAUUUAGUGCAGAGCUUGUCAGAAUAAGAUAGUAGGAAUAUGGCAGGAAAAAAAGUAGGUGUGUAAAGUAGAGUUUCUAGGACAGGGGCUAGUACAUAGCUUGUUACUUUAAAUCAGUGGUUUUCAACCAUCUUUUGUCUAUGGGCCCCCUUUGAUUCCCAUUUUGCUCUACUGGACCUCCAUAGUGAUUCAUCAUCAUCAUCACAACACGGGGUCCUAAAAAAUCCUACUGUAUUUUUAUAAUUAAAAAUCAUUUGGAAUUGUAUUUAAGAAAAGAUUGCUUGUCAACUAAAAAAUAUUUGUAUAGUCUCUUGGUUGUGGAUACUAUCAGUGUACAGAAGAAUAAAGAGAAGUACUGUCUGGUAUCAUGGUAAAAAAAUAGGAGACAUAACUGAACCUUGAUGUACACCAGAGCUGACAGAAUGGGGGCUGGAGAAAGCUCUGCCAACACAAGUUAUAGUAAAUAGUUUUGCUAAAAACUUGCUCAUAGAGAUUAGUUAGAUGAAGCUUAUAUUAGUCAGCAACCUUGCUAGGAUGUUCCUUUGUGAGACAUGGUCAAAAGUUUGCACCAAAAUUCUCAGUGGCAAAAGACUAUAGAAAAUCUGAUUCUUUGGUAAAUUUGAUUCUAUAGGAACUAUUAGACUUAUCUCUGGCCUUUAAAUACUGGGUUCAGUUGUCACCUUUUAGCUGUCUCAGAUAACCCAUGUCAUCUCUAGUUACCUCAAAUGGAUAGCUAUUAUCAAACACCAUCCAAAUUUUAAUGAGAUAACUGGUUGUAUUAACCUUUAAUAAGAAUGAGGGUUUUUUUGUUUUGUUUUUUACUAUAGCUUAGUUAAAAAAGGGUAGUGACCAUUGCCCUUAUGGAGUUUCCAUGGUUUGGGGAGGGAUUGCAAAGAUAUGUUAUCGUCAGUUCUACUAACAUUUGUAGCUCAUGUCUAAUUACCCCCAUCAAAAAGGUUCCUAUGAACAGCAUUUUCAAUAUACAACAAUUCCAAAUGAAAUUCUCUCUACUAAUCUUUCCCAAAAUACUCUCUUCAUUGCCAAGUUCUCUCCAAAACUUUCAAAUCUCAAGUCAUUCUGCCAUGUAACUGAAAAUGCGACAUUAGGCUUUUACUGGGGGGCAACCACAAUAAUAAAGCACUGACAGCAGGGUUUACUUGUGUUUUCUAUAUUUCUGUUUAAAAUAUAUCCUGGUGGGGCCCAAAAUGUGGAUUUUGAAGAUUAAACUAUCUAAAACUAGCAUAAAUGGUUCAAGAAUAUCCUUCUGUUCCUUCUUGUACUCAUAGCUUCCAGCUUAAUUCACAUGCCUAUUACUUCAACAAAGCUAACUUCAGAUAUUUUUGCUCCAGGUGUUUGGUAUAUGUAAUGCAGAUUUGGUGGUUUUCAUCAUGUCAGCUUGGAUUUCUAUACUUUAAUUAUAUAAAAUAAAACUGGCUUUAUUUUCUACUGUA